GCCUACAACCAUAUCACCCAGAAUGCGCCCGAUCUCGUCUGAUCUCGGAAGCUAAGCAGGGUCGAGCUUGGAUAGUACUCGGAUGUGGGACUGCCUGGGAAUACCAGGUGUUGUAGGCU
This 119-nucleotide ribosomal RNA is filed under the name Petromyzon marinus (sea lamprey). The record is from RNAcentral. Lineage: Eukaryota; Metazoa; Chordata; Hyperoartia; Petromyzontiformes; Petromyzontidae.